GCGCAGCAGUCGAGAAUCCUCCGCAAUACACGAAAGUGUGACGGGGCCAUCCCGAGUGCCGUCCGCUGAGGACGGCUUUUCCCCAGUGUACAUAGCUGGGGGAAUAAGGAGAGGGCAAGCCUGGUGUCAGCCGCCGCGGUAAUACCAGCUCUCCGAGUGGUGGGGACGCUUAUUGGGCCUAAAGCAUCCGUAGCCGGCUGGGCAAGUCCUCCGUUAAAUCCAACGAUUCAAUCGUUGGGCUGCGGGGGAUACU
RNAcentral lists this ribosomal RNA (253 nucleotides) under uncultured microorganism. RNAcentral's name for it is "partial 16S ribosomal RNA". It matches the Rfam family "Archaeal small subunit ribosomal RNA", at positions 330 to 585 of the family's 1478-position model. The record is from RNAcentral.